CCAGACUUGUACCCUCCUGAACGGUGUCGAGAGCGUUCAUCUUGGUAGUCAGGAUUCUCAGUCUGGGAAUAGGCGAGUGGAUCUUGCACAAAAGAGACGGUGGUAUAAGGGUAUUAUGGGUCUCUGGUACCGAGACAACAUUAGGAAACUGCGUACUGGUACGACCUUCACAUUCAGACUGCUCGUCCUCCAAAGCUGCUAUGCAACGAGCACCCAGUUCAUCAAAGACCAGGUCCAUGAGGGGAUCACCAGUGCUAUAUAACCCCUCAACAUCUUCG
Non-coding RNA from Pelobates cultripes (western spadefoot toad), 278 nucleotides. NCBI's taxonomy places the organism in Eukaryota, Metazoa, Chordata, Amphibia, Anura, Pelobatidae. The record is from the annotation of a GenBank genome assembly.